Molecule: ribosomal RNA, 492 nt
Filed under: uncultured bacterium
Lineage: Bacteria
Description: partial 16S ribosomal RNA
Rfam family: Bacterial small subunit ribosomal RNA
Source: RNAcentral
AUUGAACGCUGGCGGCAUGCUUUACACAUGCAAGUCGAACGGUAACAGGCCUUCUGGUGCUGACGAGUGGCGUACGGGUGAGUAAUGCAUCGGAACGUGCCCAGAGGUGGGGGAUAACGCAGCGAAAGCUGUGCUAAUACCGCAUGUGAUCUGAGGAUGAAAGCGGGGGACCAGGCAGCAAUGUUUGGCCUCGCGCCUUUGGAGCGGCCGAUGUCAGAUUAGGUAGUUGGUGGGGUAAAGGCCUACCAAGCCGACGAUCUGUAGCUGGUCUGAGAGGACGACCAGCCACACUGGGACUGAGACACGGCCCAGACUCCUACGGGAGGCAGCAGUGGGGAAUUUUGGACGAUGGGCGAAAGCCUGAUCCAGCAAUGCCGCGUGCGGGAAGAAGGCCUUCGGGUUGUAAACCGCUUUUGUACGGAACGAAAAGGCUCUGGCUAAUACCUGGGGCUGAUGACGGUACCGUAAGAAUAAGCACCGGCUAACUACGUG